AUUGAACGCUGGCGGCAGGCCUAACACAUGCAAGUCGAACGAGCGGCGGACGGGUGAGUAAUGUCUGGGAAACUGCCUGAUGGAGGGGGAUCACUACUGGAAAAGGUAGCUAAUACCGCAUACAAUCAGAUGAGCCCAGAUGGGAUUAGCUAGUAGGUGGGGUAAUGGCUCACCUAGGCGACGAUCACUAGCUGGGCUGAGAGGAUGACCGUCCUCACUGGAACUGGGACACGUGCCAUACUCCUACGGUAGUCAGCAGUGGGUAAUAUUGCACUAUGGUCGCAAGCCUGAUGCAGCCAUGCCGCGUGUAUGAAGAAGGCCUUCGGGUUGUAAAGUACUUUCAGCUGGGAGGCGUUCCCCGCAGAAGAAGCACCGGCUAACUACGUGCCAGCAGCCGCGGUAAUUC
Molecule: ribosomal RNA, 406 nt
Filed under: uncultured bacterium
Lineage: Bacteria
Description: partial 16S ribosomal RNA
Rfam family: Bacterial small subunit ribosomal RNA
Source: RNAcentral